ACCAGAAACUAGCGGGGUGUUGGU
This 24-nucleotide non-coding RNA is filed under the name Arabidopsis thaliana (thale cress). Lineage: Eukaryota; Viridiplantae; Streptophyta; Magnoliopsida; Brassicales; Brassicaceae. The record is from RNAcentral.